UACAGAGGUGGCAAGCGUUGUUCGGAAUUACUGGGCGUAAAGGGCGCGUAGGCGGCCUUCUAAGUCAGACGUGAAAUCCCCCGGCUUAACCUGGGAACUGCGUCUGAUACUGGAUGGCUUGAGUUUGGGAGAGGGACGCGGAAUUCCAGGUGUAGCGGUGAAAUGCGUAGAUAUCUGGAGGAACACCGGUGGCGAAGGCGGCGUCCUGGACCAACACUGACACUGAGGAGCGAAAGCCAGGGGAGCAAACGGG
This 253-nucleotide ribosomal RNA is filed under the name uncultured bacterium. RNAcentral's name for it is "partial 16S ribosomal RNA". It matches the Rfam family "Bacterial small subunit ribosomal RNA", at positions 524 to 776 of the family's 1533-position model. The record is from RNAcentral.